This 507-nucleotide ribosomal RNA is filed under the name uncultured Flavobacteriia bacterium. RNAcentral's name for it is "bacterial SSU rRNA". It matches the Rfam family "Bacterial small subunit ribosomal RNA", at positions 389 to 896 of the family's 1533-position model. The record is from RNAcentral. Lineage: Bacteria; Pseudomonadati; Bacteroidota; Flavobacteriia.
CAGCCAUGCCGCGUGCAGGAAGAAUGCCCUAUGGGUUGUAAACUGCUUUUAUUUGGGAAUAAACCUCUUUACGUGUAGAGAGCUGAAGGUACCAAAUGAAUAAGCACCGGCUAACUCCGUGCCAGCAGCCGCGGUAAUACGGAGGGUGCAAGCGUUAUCCGGAAUCAUUGGGUUUAAAGGGUCCGCAGGCGGAUUUAUAAGUCAGUGGUGAAAUCCUAUCGCUUAACGAUAGAACUGCCAUUGAUACUGUAAGUCUUGAAUUCGGUCGGAGUGGGCGGAAUGUGUAGUGUAGCGGUGAAAUGCAUAGAUAUUACACAGAACACCGAUAGCGAAGGCAGCUCACUAGGCCUGAAUUGACGCUCAGGGACGAAAGCGUGGGGAUCAAACAGGAUUAGAUACCCUGGUAGUCCACGCUGUAAACGAUGAUUACUCGUUUUCGGCGAUAUACAGUCGGAGACUAAGCGAAAGUGAUAAGUAAUCCACCUGGGGAGUACGAUCGCAAGGUUA